This 685-nucleotide ribosomal RNA is filed under the name Rhipiceridae sp. UPOL RK0144. RNAcentral's name for it is "eukaryotic LSU rRNA". It matches the Rfam family "Eukaryotic large subunit ribosomal RNA", at positions 670 to 1250 of the family's 3401-position model. The record is from RNAcentral. RNAcentral also lists the same sequence under 1 other name. Lineage: Eukaryota; Metazoa; Arthropoda; Insecta; Coleoptera; Rhipiceridae.
GGAGUCUAGCAUGUGCGCGAGUCAUUGGUAACUCGCUAAAACCAUAGGCGAAAUGAAAGUGAAGGUUCGACUUAGCGCGGACCGAGGGAGGAUGGGUCGCGUCUAGGCGCGGCCCCGCACUCCCGGGGCGUCUCGUUCUCAUUGCGAGAUGAGGCGCACCAAGAGCGUACACGCUGGGACCCGAAAGAUGGUGAACUAUGCCUGGUCAGGACGAAGUCAGGGGAAACCCUGAUGGAGGUCCGUAGCGAUUCUGACGUGCAAAUCGAUCGUCAGAACUGGGUAUAGGGGCGAAAGACUAAUCGAACCAUCUAGUAGCUGGUUCCCUCCGAAGUUUCCCUCAGGAUAGCUGGCUCUCAUUGAACGAGUCUCAUACGGUAAAGCGAAUGAUUAGAGGCAUUGGGGUCGAAACGGCCUCAACCUAUUCUCAAACUUUAAAUGGGUGAGACCUCCGGCUUGCUCGAACACAAACGUGAAGCCGCGAGUUGUUUCCCGUGCGCGCGUGGCGGCGGUUCUCCGUCGUCCCGUGCGGUUAACGCGGGGAACGCAGGAUCAGAGUGCCAAGUGGGCCAUUUUUGGUAAGCAGAACUGGCGCUGUGGGAUGAACCAAACGCAGAGUUAAAGCGCCAAAAUCGACGCUUAUGGGAUACCAUGAAAGGCGUUGGUAACUUAAGACAGCAGGACGGUG